GGGUGACAGCCCCGUACACAAAAAUGCACAUGCUGUGAGCUCGAUGAGUAGGGCGGGACACGUGGUAUCCUGUCUGAAUAUGGGGGGACCAUCCUCCAAGGCUAAAUACUCCUGACUGACCGAUAGUGAACCAGUACCGUGAGGGAAAGGCGAAAAGAACCCCGGCGAGGGGAGUGAAAAAGAACCUGAAACCGUGUACGUACAAGCAGUGGGAGCACGCUUAGGCGUGUGACUGCGUACCUUUUGUAUAAUGGGUCAGCGACUUAUAUUCUGUAGCAAGGUUAACCGAAUAGGGGAGCCGAAGGGAAACCGAGUCUUAACUGGGCGUUAAGUUGCAGGGUAUAGACCCGAAACCCGGUGAUCUAGCCAUGGGCAGGUUGAAGGUUGGGUAACACUAACUGGAGGACCGAACCGACUAAUGUUGAAAAAUUAGCGGAUGACUUGUGGCUGGGGGUGAAAGGCCAAUCAAACCGGGAGAUAGCUGGUUCUCCCCGAAAGCUAUUUAGGUAGCGCCUCGUGAAUUCAUCUCCGGGGGUAGAGCACUGUUUCGGCAAGGGGGUCAUCCCGACUUACCAACCCGAUGCAAACUGCGAAUACCGGAGAAUGUUAUCACGGGAGACACACGGCGGGUGCUAACGUCCGUCGUGAAGAGGGAAACAACCCAGACCGCCAGCUAAGGUCCCAAAGUCAUGGUUAAGUGGGAAACGAUGUGGGAAGGCCCAGACAGCCAGGAUGUUGGCUUAGAAGCAGCCAUCAUUUAAAGAAAGCGUAAUAGCUCACUGGUCGAGUCGGCCUGCGCGGAAGAUGUAACGGGGCUAAACCAUGCACCGAAGCUGCGGCAGCGACACUGUGUGUUGUUGGGUAGGGGAGCGUUCUGUAAGCCUGCGAAGGUGUGCUGUGAGGCAUGCUGGAGGUAUCAGAAGUGCGAAUGCUGACAUAAGUAACGAUAAAGCGGGUGAAAAGCCCGCUCGCCGGAAGACCAAGGGUUCCUGUCCAACGUUAAUCGGGGCAGGGUGAGUCGACCCCUAAGGCGAGGCCGAAAGGCGUAGUCGAUGGGAAACAGGUUAAUAUUCCUGUACUUGGUGUUACUGCGAAGGGGGGACGGAGAAGGCUAUGUUGGCCGGGCGACGGUUGUCCCGGUUUAAGCGUGUAGGCUGGUUUUCCAGGCAAAUCCGGAAAAUCAAGGCUGAGGCGUGAUGACGAGGCACUACGGUGCUGAAGCAACAAAUGCCCUGCUUCCAGGAAAAGCCUCUAAGCAUCAGGUAACAUCAAAUCGUACCCCAAACCGACACAGGUGGUCAGGUAGAGAAUACCAAGGCGCUUGAGAGAACUCGGGUGAAGGAACUAGGCAAAAUGGUGCCGUAACUUCGGGAGAAGGCACGCUGAUACGUAGGUGAAGUCCCUCGCGGAUGGAGCUGAAAUCAGUCGAAGAUACCAGCUGGCUGCAACUGUUUAUUAAAAACACAGCACUGUGCAAACACGAAAGUGGACGUAUACGGUGUGACGCCUG
This 1510-nucleotide ribosomal RNA is filed under the name Escherichia coli. RNAcentral's name for it is "partial 23S ribosomal RNA". It matches the Rfam family "Bacterial large subunit ribosomal RNA", at positions 362 to 1861 of the family's 2925-position model. The record is from RNAcentral. Lineage: Bacteria; Pseudomonadati; Pseudomonadota; Gammaproteobacteria; Enterobacterales; Enterobacteriaceae.